UUGCCGCCCUGGGCUGGAGGAUCACACCGAUGCUGGGGAAGCCUGGCUGAGACUGGUCGGCCAUGGAUCUGAAGUCCAAAGGAGAGGGGCGGCAGAACUCUAUGGAAGUGAUUGUGUUUGCUAAUGGCUACAAGUACAGAACGGGAAUUUACGUCCUCAACACUCAGACUUCAAGAUUUUUAGAGCAUUACUCAAAACAUUUCAUGAAGAUGAUCUAUUGUCCUGUGCUGAUUUCAAGAGGGUUUUUGACAUAUUCCUGUCCGUAAGAGAACACCGGGGAAGAGGUCAUUAACUUAGAAUGAAGAAGUCAUCUUUUCCAGUUCUGGUGAUGUUAUUUGUACUCAUGGCUGAAGUCAGGCAUAUUAUUGGACUGAAGAUUUUCAUUAGACACUUUGAUUCCAAACAUUAGAUCCAAUGUCAUCCCUUUUUUGAAUUGAGUUAGUAUAUAACCACAAUUUCUGGUUUUGUAUAGGUAUAUACUUAUAUAAAUGUUUGAUGUCAGAAAUCAUGUUAGAUUUUAAUCUAUCCUGAAUUUUAUGGGAAACUAGAUUUUGGAGAUAAAAGUGAUUUAGCCAAAAUGUUAUAGUUAACAACAAAAGUGGAACAGGAUUGAAAGAAUUUGACAUUUAGCAAGCUAGUAUCCACAUAUAGCAUUGUGUCUUAGAAAUUCAGGCUUUGGGAAAGUGGCUUAUAUCACUUUGCAGUUUUUCAGCAUCUUUUUUUUUUUUCUGUUCCAUGAGGAAAAUUACAAUUAGAUAGCUAUCUUCAUAGUUAUGAUUAGAUGUUGGAUAUUCUUAUGGAAUCAAAUAUGUAUGUAGAAAAAAAAAUAUGUUGAGUCUGACUCAGGGAAAAAGCUAAAAUCUCAGAUUUAAUCAAUAAGUACAUUAAAGCCUCUACUGAUCCUGCUCAUACAAAAAAUUCCAUACAUAAAGUCACUCGACAAAUUCAUUUGGCGAGUUAAAUGAGAGUAUAUCUCCUAAUUUGUUUUCAUAUUUAAUUAUCCAUUUAUUCUUUUGAUUCAUAGGCAGUAAUUUCAUAUUGUUGAUUCCCUCUUGACCUUGUGCUUGUAACUGAAUCCUGAGAUCUGGCGUGGGGCCCAGGAAUAUGUAGAAAAUUGUUUAUAUUAGCAGCAGGCUGCCUUGACUGCAAGGCUUUGAUUUAACAUUAUAACUGUACUAAAAGUAGCAAAGCUUUCCCAUGUACUCUCUAUUCUGUUCAAAUCCCUUGUCAUUAUAACAGAUGUUUGGAUUAUUGUUCUGUAAACUAUGUCAGAAUUUCAAUCUCUAGUAUCUGUUUAUUAUUCUCCAAGGGUGAUAUUACAAAUGUUCUCAUGCACAGUUAAUACUUAUAAAACAGUCUGUCUUAUUUCCCACAAAAAAAAAAUCACAGCAGAAAGUUUUUGUUAAUCAGAGUAAAUAUACCUAGUUUAGAAAAGAUUGUUUUAAGUGCUCAUGAAUCAAAGACUCCAGCUAGCAAGAGGCAACAUUUCAAAAGAUAUUCCAGUCGUUUAAAAAGAAAAUACCAUAGCUUUCAUCUUAAGCCUCAUGAAAUACUAAUUUUUAAAAUUGAUUUAAGUACGAGUCCAGAUAAAAUGUCGCAUUAAGUAUUUUUAAUGAUUUGAGUCUGAUAGUGAGAUAUAACCUACUUUAUAUUAAUGCCUGUGAAAACCAUAUCAGCUGAUACAACCUCAAAGUUUCAAAUGUGUAAUAUGAUCAAAAUAAGAUGAUUUGUGGAAUAACACAAUGAAAGCUCAGUUGUUUAUAAAGAUAUUGGAAAUAUGUGGUGAAGACUCCAACGCUUAAAAUUUGUACUUGAGUAGCAAACCCUAUUACAUUAACAGAAAAACAAGCCAGCUGACAACUUUUUAAAAUACAUUUUCAAAGCCUGAACUGUUAGUUUCCUCCUGUUGUUUGAAUGAGUUAUGGCAGCAUUUACAAGGGCAUGAAAUAAGAUUUCCUGAGGUGAUUCGGUCCAAUUGGAUAUUGAUGAAGAACAAAAUCUCUGGAAUACCAUUUGUUUCCCCUCCAGAGUUUUAUAUUUUUAUCUUUUAAUUUUAGCUUACCAGAGAACUGUUGUGUUCUAAACAGAGCCCCUAUAAAGGAGCAGUGUUCCUUCGGAGCACAAGGACAAAUACACAGUGCUCUGAAGAAAAUCUGUGCCACUAGAAAUCAAGGCUUUCAGCUCUGUAGCUGGAUCCAUCUCCAUGAAAAGAACCUACAGCUCCCUCUUACCUCAUGUGUAUCCCUACAUUUUUAUAAUUUCAAAUCUUUAGUCCUUCCUCUUUUGCAUCUAAAAGUGACAUUUUAAAAACCAGAAAGGGGUAGGGAAACCAACUGUUCUGAAAUGAUUUAGAAGGGGAAUGACAGAAUUCUUCAGGGAAAUAAAACGAAAGGGGAAGGGAGAGUUUAUGAAAAAGGGUCAAUUAGCUACUCAAUCAGCCCCUAGAAGAAGGUGUGGUAGCUUUUACUUCAUUCAUUUUGCCUUUAAGAAUGGACAGAUAUAACAGAGUUUGGAGUCUGCAAGAAUAUCAGCAUACAUUAUGCUUGCAUUUAGGGUUUUAAAAAACAAAGGGAGAGAAAAAAAAAAAAACAAGGUCAGCUUCGGAAAUGAUGAAUGCCUUUUUGCUGAAAGCUGCACUGAACGUCCUUGAGUUUAAUCAAAACUAUUUGUUUUUAGUCAGCUCUGCUGUUGUCUCUUUUACUCGUGUCCACUGAUAGCUUGACAUUAAUGACAUCAUGAAUCAUGUGAAGUGGCGGCUUGGGUUUGGUAGCAUUUCAAGUGUUUGCUGAGAUGUCCUGGGCUAUCUGAGGGGCUGGUGCAAGGUUGGAUAUCACCCUGGACUGAAUCUUUAGUUUAUGGCAUUGUUAGGUCAGUAAAAUCAUAGGAUGCCUUAUUGAUCUUGAUGGGCCUUCUUUAAAAAAUGUCUGGACACUCAUGACACGCAGACUUUACAAAAUUACUGAAUUGACGUAUUUACCUUCAGUUCAUUUUUUUUUUUGAAAUUCUUAAAAGCUUAUUAUAAAACAGCACAUUAAAAUCAAAACUUUCUCAUUGCUCUGGUCAAUCCCCAUGACCAUUCCUUGAUGAGCAUCAAAACAUCGGUCU
Long non-coding RNA from Cavia porcellus (domestic guinea pig), 3105 nucleotides. RefSeq lists it as uncharacterized. The transcript is spliced from 3 exons. Lineage: Eukaryota; Metazoa; Chordata; Mammalia; Rodentia; Caviidae. The record is from RefSeq and is a predicted model, not a curated record.